RNAcentral lists this transfer RNA (69 nucleotides) under Rattus norvegicus (Norway rat). It matches the Rfam family "tRNA". Rfam says of the family: Transfer RNA (tRNA) molecules are approximately 80 nucleotides in length. Their secondary structure includes four short double-helical elements and three loops (D, anti-codon, and T loops). Lineage: Eukaryota; Metazoa; Chordata; Mammalia; Rodentia; Muridae. The record is from Rfam by way of RNAcentral.
GGGGAUUUGGCUCAGUGGUAGAGUGCUUGCCUAGGAAGCACAAGGUCAUGGGUUCGAUCCCCAGCCCUG